Molecule: long non-coding RNA, 417 nt
Filed under: Bos taurus (domestic cattle)
Lineage: Eukaryota; Metazoa; Chordata; Mammalia; Artiodactyla; Bovidae
Description: long non-coding RNA NONBTAT015047
Source: RNAcentral
CCCCUCCACUUGAACUUUGAAAAUCUUAAAAGCAAAAAUCUCUCAAAAUACACAGCUAUACUAAGUCAUAUACUCAGAAUGGAACCAGUAGAAGCAUUUAAAAAUUUCUUUGCUGACUGAUCCCUCCUGAAUGGACUUAUUAGAUCAGGAUUCUGAAGUCUAAAUGGAUAUCUCACCUAAGUUUGCCAGUCAAACCACCUGAUGAUGCUUCGAGUUUAGCCUUCCUGAAUAAGCCAGGAUGAAAUAAAACUCAUUACCUUCCCCCAACCUCAUCUCUCAAUUCAAAUCCUCUAGACAGUAUUCACCAAGUCAGUCUCUGAAAUGUUUAACCUAAUACAAAGAAAACCAAGGCAUACAUAGUAAGACAUUAUAAAUAAAGCUGAAGGGAAAUGGAUGGAAUAAAGACAAAAAAACUUU